Molecule: ribosomal RNA, 506 nt
Filed under: uncultured bacterium
Lineage: Bacteria
Description: partial 16S ribosomal RNA
Rfam family: Bacterial small subunit ribosomal RNA
Source: RNAcentral
AGUGAACGCUGGCGGUAGGCCUAACACAUGCAAGUCGAGCGGCAGCACAGGAGAGCUUGCUCUCUGGGUGGCGAGUGGCGGACGGGUGAGGAAUACAUCGGAAUCUACUCUGUCGUGGGGGAUAACGUAGGGAAACUUACGCUAAUACCGCAUACGACCUACGGGUGAAAGCAGGGGACCUUCGGGCCUUGCGCGAUUGAAUGAGCCGAUGUCGGAUUAGCUAGUUGGCGGGGUAAAGGCCCACCAAGGCGAUGAUCCGUAGCUGGUCUGAGAGGAUGAUCAGCCACACUGGAACUGAGACACGGUCCAGACUCCUACGGGAGGCAGCAGUGGGGAAUAUUGGACAAUGGGCGCAAGCCUGAUCCAGCCAUACCGCGUGGGUGAAGAAGGCCUUCGGGUUGUAAAGCCCUUUUGUUGGGAAAGAAAUCCAGCUGGCUAAUACCCGGUUGGGAUGACGGUACCCAAAGAAUAAGCACCGGCUAACUUUGUGCCAGCCGCCGCCGUAA